GUGCGGUGAUGUAUUGCCAGCACAUCAUUCUGAAGAAAAGUGUGUGGUGACUUCCUGUGGCUGAGCACA
This is a small nucleolar RNA of Artibeus jamaicensis (Jamaican fruit-eating bat), 69 nucleotides long. RefSeq annotates it as small nucleolar RNA SNORD63. The record is from RefSeq and is a predicted model, not a curated record. NCBI's taxonomy places the organism in Eukaryota, Metazoa, Chordata, Mammalia, Chiroptera, Phyllostomidae. The transcript has a single exon.